GGGGCUAUGGCUCAGUGAAAGAGCCUCUGCCUCGCAUGCAGAAGGUCCCGGGUUCAAUCCCCGGCAUCUCCA
This is a non-coding RNA of Gekko japonicus, 72 nucleotides long. The record is from the annotation of a RefSeq genome assembly. NCBI's taxonomy places the organism in Eukaryota, Metazoa, Chordata, Lepidosauria, Squamata, Gekkonidae.